AUCGGUGACAGGUGGUGCAUGGUUGUCGUCAGCUCGUGUCGUGAGAUGUGGGUUAAGUCCCGCAACGAGCGCAACCCCUAUUGUUAGUUGUCAUCAUUCAGUUGGGCACUCUAGCGAGACUGCCGGUAAUAAACCGGAGGAAGGUGGGGAUGACGUCAAAUCAUCAUGCCCCUUAUGACCUGGGCUACACACGUGCUACAAUGGUUGGUACAACGAGUUGCGAGUCGGUGACGGCGAGCUAAUCUCUUAAAGCCAAUCUCAGUUCGGAUUGUAGGCUGCAACUCGCCUACAUGAAGUCGGAAUCGCUAGUAAUCGCGGAUCAGCACGCCGCGGUGAAUACGUUCCCGGGCCUU
RNAcentral lists this ribosomal RNA (353 nucleotides) under uncultured Streptococcus sp. RNAcentral describes it as "bacterial SSU rRNA". It matches the Rfam family "Bacterial small subunit ribosomal RNA", at positions 1027 to 1382 of the family's 1533-position model. Lineage: Bacteria; Bacillati; Bacillota; Bacilli; Lactobacillales; Streptococcaceae. The record is from RNAcentral.